GGUCUAGAUGGCGUCGCUGGGUUAGAGGAAAACGGCCCUGGUCGAGCCGCCCCGCCCUCUCACCUCGGGUUGUGGCUUAGGUUCAGCGCGAUCCAGGGUACGAAGCGGUACUUGUAACGACGCCAUCGCUGCCAGAGGCCGCGCAGCAGGCGGCCCGGCAUGGGUGUCCUGUGGUGCCGUGAUGAGGACGGCACGGGGGAGGCGGGUCUUCUCGGGCCCGCCCCGACCCGAGGAGGAGUAGAGGCCGCGCCGUCCCUCCCCUUUGCGGUCUCAGCACUCAGUGCCGCGCUCGGCGACCCUGGUACCUCCUGGCCUCCUGUCGCCGCGUCUCCGUGCCUCUGCUUUAUUGACCCCAGCUCGCUGAAACAGAGAGUGAAUUAUAAUGACACACUGUCAAAUGUUGCACCAUCCUUGGAUUCCUGAGAUAACCCUACUCAGUUAUGCAGAAAUGGAGGUUCAGAAAGUCAAACAGGGGUUACACGGCUGGCAAGUGGCAGAGCCAGAUUUGACCCAGGUGAUGUCUCAGGCUCUGUGGUCACGAAGUCCAUCAUCAUCACCUACUUUUCCUCCCUUAUGUCAAUUCAA
Molecule: long non-coding RNA, 585 nt
Organism: Mesoplodon densirostris (Blainville's beaked whale)
Lineage: Eukaryota; Metazoa; Chordata; Mammalia; Artiodactyla; Ziphiidae
Exons: 3
Source: RefSeq, a predicted model, not a curated record